AUCCUCAAAGGAGUGCGUAAUAGCUCACUGAUCAAGCGUUUUUGCGCCGAAAAUUUCCGGAACUAAGUUUUUUGCCGAAGCUAUGGAUAUAUUAUCUACAUAAUAUGUGGUAGAGGAGCGUUCCGCUCAGGGAGAAGCCAAGCGCGUAAGCCGCGGUGGACAGAGCGGAAGUGAGAAUGUCAGAUUGAGUAACGAAAACACUAGUGAGAAUCUAGUGCCCCGAAAACGUAAGGGUUCCUCUGCAAGGCUCGUCCUCAGAGGGUCAGUCAGGACCUAAGGUGAGGCCGAAAGGCGUAAUCGAUGGAAAAAAGGUUUAUAUUCCUUUACCGCACACUAUUAGUCCUAAGGGACGAACAAAUGAAGCGAAAGAAAUUUGCCACCUUGGCAGGUGGAUCAACGAACUUCUUGUCUCUGCAUUUUUUCCAAGAAAAGCUUAUCGACUUUGAUAGCUGUGCGCCUGUACCGUAAACCGACACAGGUACGUGGGUUGAAUAAACUAAGGGGAGCGAGAUAACUCUCUCUAAGGAACUCGGCAAAUUGGCUCUGUACCUUCGGAAGAAAGAGUGCCCUGCAUAAGGGCCGCAGUGAAGAGAUCCAGGCGACUGUUUACCAAAAACACAGGUCUCCGCUAAGUCGCAAGACGAUGUAUGGGGGCUGACGCCUGCCCAGUGCCGGAAGGUUAAAGAAGUUGGUCAGCGCAAGCGAAGCUAACGACUGAAGCCCCGGUGAACGGCGGCCGUAACUAUAACGGUCCUAAGGUAGCGAAAUUCCUUGUCGGGUAAGUUCCGACCUGCACGAAUGGCGUAACGAUUUCCCCACUGUCUCCAACAUAGACUCAGUGAAAUUGAAUUCUCGGUUAAGAUGCCGAGUAACCGUGGUUAGACGGAAAGACCCCGUGCACCUUUACUGCAGCUUUGUAUUGGUAUUAGGGGACAGAUGUGUAGCAUAGGUGGGAGACUUUGAAGGAUUGGCGCUAGCCAGUCUGGAGUCACCAGUGAAAUACCACUCUUCUGUUCCUUGAUGCCUAACCAUACACCGUUAUCCGGUGUUGGGACCAUGCAUGGUGGGCAGUUUGACUGGGGCGGUCGCCUCCCAAAGAGUAACGGAGGCGCGCGAUGGUAGGCUCAGAACGCUUGGAAACCGUUCGUCGAGUGCAAUGGCAUAAGCCUGCCUGACUGCGAGACCCACAAGUCGAGCAGAGACGAAAGUCGGUCAUAGUGAUCCGGUGGCACUUCGUGGAAGGGCCAUCGCUCAACGGAUAAAAGGUACGCCGGGGAUAACAGGCUGAUCUCUCCCAAGAGUCCAUAUCGACGGGGAGGUUUGGCACCUCGAUGUCGGCUCAUCGCAUCCUGGGGCUGAAGCAGGUCCCAAGGGUUUGGCUGUUCGCCAAUUAAAGCGGUACGCGAGCUGGGUUUAGAACGUCGUGAGACAGUUCGGUCCCUAUCCUCUGCAGCCGGAAGAGAUUUGACGAAAGCUGUCCCUAGUACGAGAGGACCGGGAUGGACGUAGCUCUCCUGGUUGAUGCUGAUCAAAAAUCCAAUUUUAGAUGCAAGGCAUUAGCUAGUGAGACAAAAAAAAUAUUCUUUAAAACUUUUGUGUCUAACAAAAUGUAACCAUGUCCUUAAAACUAUAAAGUUUGUAUCGCUUUUGGGAACCUCUUGAGGUUCCCAUUUUUUU
Molecule: ribosomal RNA, 1677 nt
Filed under: marine metagenome
Description: bacterial LSU rRNA
Rfam family: Bacterial large subunit ribosomal RNA
Source: RNAcentral